GAUGAACGCUGGCGGUAUGCUUAACACAUGCAAGUCGAACGGACUCUCCGUAGUUAGUUGCUGACGGGUGUGUAACGCGUCAGAAUCGGGCUUUGGGCUUGGGACAACCACUGUAAACGGUGGCUAACACCGGAUGUGCCGCGCGGUAACAGAGUAAUUGCCUGAAGAGGAGCUCGCGGCUGAUUAGCUAGUUGGUGAGGUAAAGGCCCGCCAAGGCAGCGAUCAGUAGCCGGUCUGAGAGGAUGACCAGCCACACCGGGACUGGGACACGGCCCAGACGCAUACGGGAGGAAGCAGUGGAGAAUUUUCCGCAAAGGGCGAGAGCCUGACGGAGCAAUACCGCUUGAGGGAAGAAGGCGCUUGGGUUGUAAACCUGUUUGCUUAGGGAAGAACAAAAUGACGGUACCUAAGGAAUCAGCACCGGCUAACUCCGUG
Molecule: ribosomal RNA, 435 nt
Filed under: uncultured bacterium
Lineage: Bacteria
Description: partial 16S ribosomal RNA
Rfam family: Bacterial small subunit ribosomal RNA
Source: RNAcentral